GGACUACUCGGGUUUCUAAUCCUGUUUGCUCCCCUAGCUUUCGUUCCUCAGCGUCAGUUGUGGUCCAGCGCGCCGCUUUCGCCACGGGUGUUCCUGCAGAUAUCUACGCAUUUCACCGCUACACCUGCAUUUCCACGCGCCUCUCCCACACUCCAGCACGGCAGUUUCGGAAGCAGCUUCUGGGUUAAGCCCAGAAAUUUCACUCCCGACUUGCCGCACCGCCUACGAACCCUUUACACCCAGUAAUUCCGAACAACGCUGGCCCCCUACGUCUUACCGCGGCUGCUGGCAC
RNAcentral lists this ribosomal RNA (292 nucleotides) under uncultured Acidobacteriota bacterium. Its description in RNAcentral is "uncultured Acidobacteria bacterium partial 16S ribosomal RNA". Lineage: Bacteria; Pseudomonadati; Acidobacteriota. The record is from RNAcentral.